CCUGGUUGAUCCUUCCAGUAGUCAUAUUCUUGUCUCAAAGAUUAAGCCAUUCAUGUGUACGAAAGAACAAAUUCAUAUUAUGAAACUGUGAAUGGCUUAUUAAAUCAGUAAUAGUUUGUUUGAUGGUAUCUAUUACUCAAAUAUUCAUAGUAAUUUAAGAGUUUAAACAUGUAGAAAACCCCAAAUUCUGGAAGGGAAGCGUUUAUUUGAUAAAAGGUCGACGCGAGCUCUGCCCAUUGCUGCGAUGAUUCCUGAUAACUCGACGGAUCGCACGAACAUCGUGCAAGUGAUGCAUUAUUCAAAUUUUUGCUGUAUUAACUUUCAAUGGUAGGAUAGUGGCCUACCAUGGUGGUGAUGAGUGAUAGAUAAUUAGGGUUCCAUUCUAGAGAGGGAGCCUGACAAACGCCUACCACAUCCAAGGAAGGCAGCAGGUGCGCAAAUUACCAAUCCUGACACUGAGAGGUAGUAACAAUAAAUAAUAAUAUCAGGCUUAAUGAGUCUGGUAAUUGAAAUGGGUAAAAUCUAAAUCCACUAAUGAGAAUCUAUUAAAGGGCAAGUCUAUUGCCAGCAACCGCAGUAGUUCCAGCUCCAAUAGUGUAUAUUUAUGUUAUUACAGUUAAAAAACUCAUAGUUGUACUUUGGGAUGGGCCGACCGGUCCUUGUUUAGUAUGCACCAGUCGUAUCAUCCCUUCUAUUAGCGAUGUGCUCCUAGACUUAACUGGCCUAGUCGUGCCUCUGAUGCUGUUACUUUGAAGAAAUUAGAGUGCUCAAAGUAAGCCUACGCUCUGUAUACAUUAGCAUGGGAUAAAACUAUAGGAUUUUGGUCCUAUUAAGUUGGCCUUACCAGCUCUGUGAUACCCUUAGAUGUUUUGGGCCACACACGCACUACACUGAUGUAUUCGACAAGUUUAUAGCCUUCGCCAACAAGCCCGGGUAAUCUUUGAAAUUUCAUCAUGAUGGGGAUAGAUCAUUAGAAUUGUUGGUCCUCAUUGAGGAAUUUGCAGUAAGCACGAGUCGGUAUCUCGCGUUGACUACAUCCUUGCCAUUUGUACACACCGCCCGUUACUCUUACCGAAUAAAUAAUUUAGUGAAAUGUUCUAAUCGCAGUGACGUGGGUAGUUUGCUACCUACGACGUCGCGAGAAGUCAAUUGAACCAUAUCAUUUAGAGAAAGAAGAAGUUGUCACAAGGUUUCCAUAGUUGAAUUUGUGGAAGUGUCACUG
RNAcentral lists this ribosomal RNA (1222 nucleotides) under Capsicum annuum. Its description in RNAcentral is "SSU rRNA". It matches the Rfam family "Eukaryotic small subunit ribosomal RNA". Lineage: Eukaryota; Viridiplantae; Streptophyta; Magnoliopsida; Solanales; Solanaceae. RNAcentral also lists the same sequence under 1 other name. The record is from RNAcentral.